Molecule: long non-coding RNA, 1164 nt
Organism: Pistacia vera
Lineage: Eukaryota; Viridiplantae; Streptophyta; Magnoliopsida; Sapindales; Anacardiaceae
Exons: 4
Source: RefSeq, a predicted model, not a curated record
CGCAGCAAGAAGCGCUAGCUUAUUAUGCACGCUUGAAUCAAGCUAAAGGCUAGCUAACCUCUCUUGUUGCUGUUAGUGAUUUAACAAAAUCAAAUUAUCAUUUUUCUCUUUCAGUUUUCUUAAUUUUUAAGAAUAUCAUGUGUACUCCAAUACGUCCUUCUCGUGGUUGAGCACUGAUGUGGCUGCAACCUGCAACUAAAGAUCAAUCUAAGGGCUCGAGUUCGUCCUUAGGCGGCACUGUUUGGAAUAAUUAUGGAUGGUCUAGUAAUUUGGGUGAUUGUACUUCUUGUAACUGUUUGUUUGAUUUUUUGUAGUGAACCAAGAUUCAGAAACACAGCGCGAAACCAUAGAGGUGAAACCCAGCAGGAUCGGAGACAAAACCUUUUCAAGCAGCAAGUGACAGAUAGCAAGAUCGGCAACAAUAACAGAUUCCAGCAAAUGUUCAUAUUUGGAUUCCAUAUAUAUGAACGAGCAUCUCCUGAUUAUUAUUAUUUUCUCAUGAUGGAUUUUCUGCUGGAAUUACACAGCAUCCACCACCCACUAACAAUUUUACAUAAAAACAUUUGAAAGUUUUAAGUCCAAGACACAAACUUGUGAGCUUAUGAGAAACUUCACUUAUGAACUCAGUUUAAAUACUAUUUUUUAAUCUCUCUGGGUGACACAGCUCGACUGACUGGCGACCAAAAUAGAUCCUGCAAGCAGAAAGACCUAUCGAAGAUCGUGCUGAGCAGUAUGUCUUCGCUCAGUGUUGUGCCAUGCGUCGACAUCUUUUUAUGUGGAUUUUAUAUUUAUGUCGUAUUGUAUUUUGGACUUCCGCUUCAAAAACUCAUGUUUCCCAUCAUGUAUUUCCUUUUGUUUAUGUUUCGGAAUGUGCUGUAUAAGUGGAAAACCUGAUAAUACAAGUUUCCCUAAAUCUUUUCUUUUUGUAAAACGAUAGAUGGUGUAUUUUUUUUUAGAUGUUGGAAAUGGAAAUACUAUGAUGUUACUCAGGAAAAGUAAGUCUUUUAACAGGUUUCAUAGUUUUUCUACAUGGCACGUCUCGGGCAUCCGAGUCUUGUGGGAGCGCCCGAAUCUUACGGGAUGAAGAAAUUCGGGAUGGGUCGUGUCACUUUUUUAAUCUCUCUAGGUGACAAGCAACACGAUCGGCAACCAUAACAGUUUCCU